UACGUAGGGGGCGAGCGUUGUCCGAAGUUACUGGGCGUAAAGAGCGCGUAGGCGGGUCUUUAAGUGAGUGGUGAAAGGUUCGGGCUCAACCCGGACACUGCCUUUCAUACUGGGGACCUUGAGUGCGGGAGGGGCGAGUGGAAUGGUCGGUGUAGCGGUGAAAUGCGUAGAUAUCGAUCGGAACACCCAUGGCGAAGGCAGCUCGCUGGCCUGCAACUGACGCUGAGGCGCGAAAGCUGGGGGAGCAAACAGG
RNAcentral lists this ribosomal RNA (253 nucleotides) under uncultured bacterium. RNAcentral describes it as "partial 16S ribosomal RNA". It matches the Rfam family "Bacterial small subunit ribosomal RNA", at positions 524 to 776 of the family's 1533-position model. The record is from RNAcentral.